RNAcentral lists this ribosomal RNA (1110 nucleotides) under fungal endophyte. RNAcentral describes it as "eukaryotic LSU rRNA". The stretch from base 514 to 1110 matches the Rfam family "Eukaryotic large subunit ribosomal RNA", at positions 1 to 601 of the family's 3401-position model. RNAcentral also lists the same sequence under 1 other name. The record is from RNAcentral. Lineage: Eukaryota; Fungi.
UUACCGAGUGAGGGCCCUCUGGGUCCAACCUCCCACCCGUGUCUAUCGUACCUUGUUGCUUCGGCGGGCCCGCCGUUUCGACGGCCGCCGGGGAGGCCUUGCGCCCCCGGGCCCGCGCCCGCCGAAGACCCCAACAUGAACGCUGUUCUGAAAGUAUGCAGUCUGAGUUGAUUAUCGUAAUCAGUUAAAACUUUCAACAACGGAUCUCUUGGUUCCGGCAUCGAUGAAGAACGCAGCGAAAUGCGAUAAGUAAUGUGAAUUGCAGAAUUCAGUGAAUCAUCGAGUCUUUGAACGCACAUUGCGCCCCCUGGUAUUCCGGGGGGCAUGCCUGUCCGAGCGUCAUUGCUGCCCUCAAGCACGGCUUGUGUGUUGGGCCCCCGUCCCCCUCUCCCGGGGGACGGGCCCGAAAGGCAGCGGCGGCACCGCGUCCGGUCCUCGAGCGUAUGGGGCUUUGUCACCUGCUCUGUAGGCCCGGCCGGCGCCAGCCGACACCCAACUUUAUUUUUCUAAGGUUGACCUCGGAUCAGGUAGGGAUACCCGCUGAACUUAAGCAUAUCAAUAAGCGGAGGAAAAGAAACCAACAGGGAUUGCCUCAGUAACGGCGAGUGAAGCGGCAAGAGCUCAAAUUUGAAAGCUGGCCCCUUCGGGGUCCGCGUUGUAAUUUGCAGAGGAUGCUUCGGGUGCAGCCCCCGUCUAAGUGCCCUGGAACGGGCCGUCAUAGAGGGUGAGAAUCCCGUCUGGGACGGGGUGUCUGCGUCCGUGUGAAGCUCCUUCGACGAGUCGAGUUGUUUGGGAAUGCAGCUCUAAAUGGGUGGUAAAUUUCAUCUAAAGCUAAAUACUGGCCGGAGACCGAUAGCGCACAAGUAGAGUGAUCGAAAGAUGAAAAGCACUUUGAAAAGAGAGUUAAACAGCACGUGAAAUUGUUGAAAGGGAAGCGUUUGCGACCAGACUCGCCCGCGGGGUUCAGCCGGCAUUCGUGCCGGUGUACUUCCCCGUGGGCGGGCCAGCGUCGGUUUGGGCGGCCGGUCAAAGGCCCUCGGAAUGUAUCACCUCUCGGGGUGUCUUAUAGCCGAGGGUGCAAUGCGGCCUGCCUGGACCGAGGAACGCGCU